UAGUAUAUAAUGAAUAAAACAAUUUACUCGUAAAUUCUUUGAGAUAUUAUAAAUUCUGAGCUUUUUAUCACUGAACCAU
Molecule: small nucleolar RNA, 79 nt
Organism: Vanessa atalanta (red admiral)
Lineage: Eukaryota; Metazoa; Arthropoda; Insecta; Lepidoptera; Nymphalidae
Source: RefSeq, a predicted model, not a curated record